GAUGAACGCUGGCGGCGUGCCUAAUACAUGCAAGUCGAGCGAACAGACGAGGAGCUUGCUCCUCUGACGUUAGCGGCGGACGGGUGAGUAACACGUGGAUAACCUACCUAUAAGACUGGGAUAACUUCGGGAAACCGGAGCUAAUACCGGAUAAUAUAUUGAACCGCAUGGUUCAAUAGUGAAAGACGGUUUUGCUGUCACUUAUAGAUGGAUCCGCGCCGCAUUAGCUAGUUGGUAAGGUAACGGCUUACCAAGGCAACGAUGCGUAGCCGACCUGAGAGGGUGAUCGGCCACCCUGGAACUGGACCACGGUCCAGACUCCUACGGGAGGCAGCAGUGGGGAAUCUUCCGCAAUGGGCGAAGGCCUGACGGAGCAACGCCGCGUGAGUGAUGAAGGUCUUCGGUUCGUAAAACUCGUUUUUUGGGGAAGACCAAAUGUGUAAGUAACUAUGCACGUCUUGACGGUACCUAAUCAGAAAGCCACGGCUAACUACGUG
This 497-nucleotide ribosomal RNA is filed under the name uncultured bacterium. RNAcentral's name for it is "partial 16S ribosomal RNA". It matches the Rfam family "Bacterial small subunit ribosomal RNA", at positions 28 to 507 of the family's 1533-position model. The record is from RNAcentral.